Molecule: unclassified non-coding RNA, 248 nt
Filed under: Hevea brasiliensis (rubber tree)
Lineage: Eukaryota; Viridiplantae; Streptophyta; Magnoliopsida; Malpighiales; Euphorbiaceae
Source: RNAcentral
AAAAAUUUACAAUUCCUCUCAUUAUUCAUCAACCUUCAUUUUCUCUCUCUUCCCAACCUGGACCAGCUCACCUUACAUGUGAACUGCCAUUAAAGCUUAUUCCAUUAUCCUUUGGUAUCAAGCUUCUUCCGUCAUUCAAUUACCUUACUUACAGUGGACAAGAACCGACCUUUUUGUUACUCUGAAUUUCAAGAAUAGCACCCUCCAGCUUCCUUUAACACCUCAAGAUCCCAAACCACUCCUUUCUG